GCUUGGUACAUUGAAUAUAUGGAUAAGUAAAUUCUUUUACAUCUAUUCAUAUUAAACCCCUUCAACAUAAAAUUCAUAUACCUAGACUGGGACAAGUCUAGCAUUCACUUAGAUCUAUCACUAUAGAUUCCAAGUAUAUUAGAUGCUUAACCCAAGUCUUUUUCAUGAAAACCUUCUGUGAAAAAAUAUGUUAUUGACCAAGUGCAAUAUCGGGACUAUCUUUCCAACAUGUUCUAUGUCAUUCACAUACAAAAACCAAGAAGUUAGUGGGACUCCCACUUAUCUUCUUGCACACACAU
Molecule: long non-coding RNA, 299 nt
Filed under: Elaeis guineensis (African oil palm)
Lineage: Eukaryota; Viridiplantae; Streptophyta; Magnoliopsida; Arecales; Arecaceae
Description: long non-coding RNA (EGUI_LNC080177)
Source: RNAcentral